RNAcentral lists this small nuclear RNA (74 nucleotides) under Pongo abelii (Sumatran orangutan). RNAcentral's name for it is "U4 spliceosomal RNA". It matches the Rfam family "U4 spliceosomal RNA", at positions 1 to 74 of the family's 138-position model. From Rfam's summary of the family: U4 small nuclear RNA (U4 snRNA) is a component of the major U2-dependent spliceosome. The record is from Rfam by way of RNAcentral. Lineage: Eukaryota; Metazoa; Chordata; Mammalia; Primates; Hominidae.
AGCUUUGCGCAGUGGCAGUAUCACAGCCAAUGAGGUUUACUUGAGGUGUGAUUAUUGCUAAUUGAAAAACUGAU